This 815-nucleotide ribosomal RNA is filed under the name Bacillus sp. BAC58. RNAcentral describes it as "bacterial SSU rRNA". It matches the Rfam family "Bacterial small subunit ribosomal RNA", at positions 57 to 855 of the family's 1533-position model. The record is from RNAcentral. Lineage: Bacteria; Bacillati; Bacillota; Bacilli; Caryophanales; Bacillaceae.
GCAAGUCGAGCGAAUCUGAGGGAGCUUGCUCCCAAAGAUUAGCGGCGGACGGGUGAGUAACACGUGGGCAACCUGCCUGUAAGACUGGGAUAACUUCGGGAAACCGGAGCUAAUACCGGAUAAUCCCUUUCCUCACAUGAGGAAAGGCUGAAAGACGGUUUCGGCUGUCACUUACAGAUGGGCCCGCGGCGCAUUAGCUAGUUGGUGAGGUAACGGCUCACCAAGGCCACGAUGCGUAGCGACCUGAGAGGGUGAUCGGCCACACUGGGACUGAGACACGGCCCAGACUCCUACGGGAGGCAGCAGUAGGGAAUCUUCCGCAAUGGACGAAAGUCUGACGGAGCAACGCCGCGUGAGUGAUGAAGGUUUUCGGAUCGUAAAACUCUGUUGUUAGGGAAGAACAAGUAUCGGAGUAACUGCCGGUACCUUGACGGUACCUAACCAGAAAGCCACGGCUAACUACGUGCCAGCAGCCGCGGUAAUACGUAGGUGGCAAGCGUUGUCCGGAAUUAUUGGGCGUAAAGCGCGCGCAGGUGGUUCCUUAAGUCUGAUGUGAAAGCCCACGGCUCAACCGUGGAGGGUCAUUGGAAACUGGGGAACUUGAGUGCAGAAGAGGAAAGUGGAAUUCCAAGUGUAGCGGUGAAAUGCGUAGAGAUUUGGAGGAACACCAGUGGCGAAGGCGACUUUCUGGUCUGUAACUGACACUGAGGCGCGAAAGCGUGGGGAGCGAACAGGAUUAGAUACCCUGGUAGUCCACGCCGUAAACGAUGAGUGCUAAGUGUUAGAGGGUUUCCGCCCUUUAGUGCUGCAGCAAA